GGGCAAGACUCUGGAGAGAGGCCGGAAGGCCCGCCGAAGGGAUAACGAUCUCAGGCGAAGGGACAGAGGGGGCAUC
This 76-nucleotide non-coding RNA is filed under the name Maritimibacter sp. Its description in RNAcentral is "Glycine sequence". It matches the Rfam family "Glycine riboswitch aptamer". Rfam says of the family: This family represents the bacterial glycine riboswitch. Glycine riboswitches usually consist of two metabolite-binding aptamers domains with similar structures in tandem. The record is from RNAcentral. Lineage: Bacteria; Pseudomonadati; Pseudomonadota; Alphaproteobacteria; Rhodobacterales; Roseobacteraceae.